RNAcentral lists this unclassified non-coding RNA (2570 nucleotides) under Leishmania donovani. Its description in RNAcentral is "gene:LdHU3.30.4820(CDS-product:Zinc_finger_CCCH_d omain-containing_protein)". Lineage: Eukaryota; Euglenozoa; Kinetoplastea; Trypanosomatida; Trypanosomatidae. The record is from RNAcentral.
CGAAUCACCAUCCAGCAGCGCCUUUACCCAUCUCUGCAUAGAAAAACAAGAAGCGUACGAAGUACCCCCCACACUCGCCCCCACCCGUUCACAAACACGCACGCACACGCCAACACCGUUGUACGACGCCUAUCAUCCUCGUCGAACCGUCAAGCACAAACAGGAGCGACGCGCACGGAAGAGCACAAAAAAGCGCAAAGUGGGAAGCAAUACGAAAACGUGACACGCUGUUUUGGAUCCUUGGCUUUGGCACUUUUUUCCCCAUUCGUGCGCGAUAACACGGGGUUUCGCUCUCGCUUGCACGGUCAGGACGGAAUCACAAGCACGCAUGCACACCGGUCGUGAGCUGCCCCUUCCCGCCUCUUCUGCUGUUUUGCUCCGCUCUCGUUGAUUUCGCCAUUGAGCCCAAAUACCCGUCUGCGAACUCUCCCGUUCGUGGUGCAUAUCCGCAGAACAAGCAUCCACAUCAGAGCCAUGACCUUCUCCGUCAAGGGCGGCAGCUACUCGUCGUCGCACCCCAGCCCCGCGAUGCACCCCUACGUCUCACCGUCCUUGCUGCCGCAGUCUCACGGGCAGCAGGCGCCGCCAUCUUUCUCCUUGGGGGACGAGCAGUAUGUCGGGGUACCGAAGCGUGUCGGCGUCGACCCUACCAAGUACAAGACUACCAUCUGCCGCAACUGGGAGCAGACAGGGACAUGCACAUUCCGCGGCUGCACUUUCGCCCACGGCGUCGAGGAGCUCCGCGCGCCUUUUCGGCCCGACGGGCACACGCCGGUGCUGCGCCCGCAGCACAUCUCUCCCGGCAGUACACCUCCUCUGCGUGCCUCGCAGCCGCCACCGCCGCCGCCGCCGCCAUCUUCAGGCCACUAUACGCUCGAGCAGUUACUUGACAUGCUGUACAAGGAGGUCCUUCAUCAGCGCGAGCUCGUGACGGUGCACGUCGAAGCCAACACCACGCUUGAGGGCAUGCUGCGCCGAGAGCAAGCCCAGCACGAUCUUUCUAAGAAGCAGCUGGAAGAGAAGACUCAGCAGUGCGAGUUGCUCGCUAGAGAACUCUUUGCCCGAAAUCAGCAACUGCGUAAGGCGGCUGACAGCUCUCCGGAGAUCAAGGGGCUGCUCGAUCAGUGGGAGACGCAGCUGGCAAGCUUCUCGGAGGCGGAUGCGAAGAAGGAUGACGUGUUUUACACCGCCACCGCCACAUCCUCAACGGAUGAUGGCGGGGAUUCUGGAAAGGAAUACGAAAGCGCGCGUAUUGAGGAGCUCCUACGUGCUCUGCAGCGGUAAGCGCGGCGCCGCUCUCUUCUGCCCCCGCUCGCCUCCGUGCUCGAGAGAGCCAUGACGCACGCGUCAAGGCGGGGAAGGAGCGAGAAGGAGAGAAGCGGGGAGAUGGCAGACGAACGGCUGCUAACCUCCAGUCCCACCUCCAAACGAGACGCGUGAAAUGCGCUGAUGAGUCAAAUGACACAUUAUCUGUUUUAUCGGUCUCGUUGGCAGAGCGAGCGAGGGCGGUGUUCGUUACCACCAGCGAGCGUUGUUCAUAUCCCGCCCGCAUGUAUGGAUGCUCCUGAGUAGACUUCACAUUUUCUUUUUGUCGGUAUCACGACUUUUGUGUUCUCGCGUUCUUGUUGAUGUGACACAAAGCAAAGACUGAUGGAGGGGAGGGGUGGGGCACUGUCGAUGGAGGCGCUGAGGGCGGACCAUUUGUCGCGAGGUGAAUGAGGCAUGAAGGCGGAGGGGCGGGGAUGGGGCCGAUGCUUCUUCCUGCAGGAAAGGCAGCCUUUUUUUUUGCGAAUACGGUGGUGUGGAUCUGUACGGUUAACACAUUGACCAGUAGUGAUGAGCUCUCGCUUCGUAGCGUUGCUGCUCCGCCCCCUCUUCCUCCCCUCUGUCUCAGUUUGUUUUUCGGCUUUCUUUUUUCCGUCUACCGUUUGCCGAUUUUGCGGGCGACUCUCUUGGCGCGUCUCUCUGACCGGCUCUUUCACGCGCACCCUGCCACCUUUCACAUCCUCACAAGCGCUUCACCUAGCAUCCCUGGCACGAACACAAACACAACUGUCAUUCCACGCGCGGCUGCUUCUAUCGUCGUGCACUUGAAUAGAUAACGCUGCUUUCUAUCUCCUCUUACUGGUCGCGUUUUUUCCGCUCGCCUUGCCAAUCUUCUUUUUCUGUUUCUCUCUUCGACGUUUGUGUUUGUGCUUGUGUGUGCGGGCGUGUGAGUGUGCUGCUGCAGUUUUACGUGACCCUUUGCCCCGCACUCCUGGAGAGACUCAUGCGCGUAUGCGCCGCUGAGUCCACGCGAUGGUGUUGUAGGGUCUGCCCGUGCAUGUACUUCUGUUGUUGUACCGAGCCCUGCGAGGAGGGCUUGAGAAGACUUACCGGAUCUGCAGGUAGGCGUAUGUGUAUGCGUGCAUCGACCACUGUCUAUUUUUACGCCGCUCGCCAUGACGUCCUCUUCUAGUAGCCGUGAGGAGUGGUGUGGCGGUAUGAAGAGAGCAGGCGCACACACGCGCGCUCACAAGCGUGCGCGCGUGUUUGUGCGUCUUUUUGUUGUGAGUCAAGUAAAAAGACAC